RNAcentral lists this ribosomal RNA (254 nucleotides) under uncultured bacterium. RNAcentral describes it as "partial 16S ribosomal RNA". It matches the Rfam family "Bacterial small subunit ribosomal RNA", at positions 524 to 776 of the family's 1533-position model. The record is from RNAcentral.
UACGUAGGGGGCAAGCGUUGUCCGGAUUUAUUGGGCGUAAAGAGCUCGUAGGUGGUUCGGUAAGUCGGAUGUGAAAUCUCCAGGCUCAACCUGGAGGGGUCAUUCGAUACUGCCGUGACUAGAGUUCGGUAGGGGAGUGUGGAAUUCCUGGUGGAGCGGUGAAAUGCGCAGAUAUACGGAGGAACACCAGAGGCGAAGGCGGAUCGCUGGGCCAACACUGACGCUGAGACGCGAAAGCUAGGGGAGCAAACGGG